GAAGGAUCAUUGUCGUCGCCUUCGGAUAACACGACCCGCGAACGCGUAACAUAAAGUUGUCGGGUUGGAGCAGUCCUUCUCGGCCCCACCGGCCUCGGCCCCUCGGUGCUCGGGUGCGAGCUCGUGCAUUGUCGGUCGGGCGUCGGAAAACGGCGCUGGAUGUCGCCAAGGAACAUGAAAUUGCUGAGGCGGAUGUUUGUGAUCUGUCGAGGCUAAGGAAACAUUAUGACUCUCGGCAACGGAUAUCUCGGCUCUCGCAUCGAUGAAGAACGUAGCGAAAUGCGAUACGUGGUGUGAAUUGCAGAAUCCCGUGAACCAUCAAGUAUUUGAACGCAAGUUGCGCCCGAGGGACCCUCCCGAGGGCACGCCUGCUUGGGCGUUAGAAGCCCAACAACGCUCGAUCGCAUCUCGAGGGAUCGAUGCGGACAUUGGCUCUCCGAGCUGCUAGCGGCGCGGUGGGCCCAAGUGUAAGGCUGUCGGAUGGGGUCGGGAGCGGCGAGUGGUGGGCUUCUGCGCACGUCGGCUCCCCUCCUUGUGUCGGCGGAGGGCCCUUCUUCGACCCCCAAAUGAGGAGAAUGUCGUGUCGCGGCAUUCUCCGGAUCGAUACCCCAGGUC
RNAcentral lists this small RNA (615 nucleotides) under Actinoscirpus grossus. RNAcentral's name for it is "eukaryotic LSU rRNA". The stretch from base 228 to 382 matches the Rfam family "5.8S ribosomal RNA". The record is from RNAcentral. Lineage: Eukaryota; Viridiplantae; Streptophyta; Magnoliopsida; Poales; Cyperaceae.